This 1433-nucleotide ribosomal RNA is filed under the name uncultured bacterium. RNAcentral describes it as "bacterial SSU rRNA". It matches the Rfam family "Bacterial small subunit ribosomal RNA". The record is from RNAcentral.
AGAGUUUGAUCAUGGCUCAGAACGUACGCUGGCGGCACGCCUAACACAUGCAAGUCGAACGAAGUAGCAAUACUUAGUGGCAGACGGGUGAGUAACAUGUAGGUAUCUGCCCUAUGGCCUGGAAUAACACGAGGAAACUUGUGCUAAUACCGGAUAAGUCUUUACGGAGAAAGCUUUAUGCACCAUUGGAUGAGCCUGCACUUGAUUAGUUUGUUGGUAGGGUAAUGGCCUACCAAGACUAUGAUCAAUAGCUGAUUUGAGAGGAUGAUCAGCCACAUUGGGACUGAGACACGGCCCAAACUCCUACGGGAGGCAGCAGUGGGGAAUCUUGCACAAUGGAGGAAACUCUGAUGCAGCGAUGCCGCGUGAGUGAAGAAGGCCCUUGGGUUGUAAAGCUCUUUCGUCGGGGAAGAAAAUGACUGUACCCGAAUAAGAAGGUCCGGCUAACUUCGUGCCAGCAGCCGCGGUAAUACGAAGGGACCUAGCGUAGUUCGGAAUUACUGGGCUUAAAGAGUUCGUAGGUGGUUGAAAAAGUUGGUGGUGAAAUCCCAGAGCUUAACUCUGGAACUGCCAUCAAAACUUUUCAGCUAGAGUUUGAUAGAGGAAAGCAGAAUUUCUAGUGUAGAGGUGAAAUUCGUAGAUAUUAGAAAGAAUACCAAUUGCGAAGGCAGCUUUCUGGAUCAUUACUGACACUGAGGAACGAAAGCAUGGGUAGCGAAGAGGAUUAGAUACCCUCGUAGUCCAUGCCGUAAACGAUGUGUGUUAGACGUUGGAGAUUUAUUUUCAGUGUCGCAGCGAAAGCGAUAAACACACCGCCUGGGGAGUACGACCGCAAGGUUAAAACUCAAAUGAAUUGACGGGGACCCGCACAAGUAGUGGAGCAUGUGGUUUAAUUCGAAGAUACGCGCAGAACCUUACCAACACUUGACAUGUUCGUCGCGACUCUAAGAGAUUAGAGUUUUCGGUUCGGCCGGACGAAACACAGGUGCUGCAUGGCUGUCGUCAGCUCGUGUCGUGAGAUGUUGGGUUAAGUCCCGCAACGAGCGCAACCCUCACUUUUAGUUGCCAUCAUUUAGUUGGGCACUCUGAAAGAACUGCCAGUGAUAAGCUGGAGGAAGGUGGGGAUGACGUCAAGUCCUCAUGGCCCUUACGUGUUGGGCUACACACGUGCUACAAUGGUAUCUACAACAGGAAGCAAAACUGCGAAGUUAAGCAAAUCCCUAAAAGAUACCUCAGUUCGGAUUGCACUCUGCAACUCGAGUGCAUGAAGCUGGAAUUACUAGUAAUCGUGGAUCAGCGUGCCACGGUGAAUGCGUUCCCGGGUCUUGUACACACCGCCCGUCACACCAUGGGAGUUGGUUCUACCUUAAGGCAAGGUUUUAAACCCUUGACCACGGUAUAGUCAGCGACUGGGGUGAAGUCGUAACAAGGUA